Gasterosteus aculeatus aculeatus (three-spined stickleback) is the source of this 301-nucleotide long non-coding RNA. NCBI's taxonomy places the organism in Eukaryota, Metazoa, Chordata, Actinopteri, Perciformes, Gasterosteidae. The record is from Ensembl.
UGAAUAUUUUUCGAAUAUAUUUUAAUAUUUCUUUUAAUAUUUCUUGAAUAUUUCUUGAAUAUUUCUUGAUUUUUUUUUUAAUCUUUUUUUUUCACCAACCACUAACCCACUGGUUCCCAAUGGGGAUCACUCCUUUUGUUUUCCUGGAAACUUUGUAAAAAGCAAGAUAUGUGGCAUACGCAGGUUGUCUUCCCUCUUUAUCACGUAUCAUAAUCUUUGUAAUGAAACUUUCCUUUGGAUAGUUCUUGAAUAUGGUUUUAAAGAUUUUUCGAAGAUUCUUUUGAAUAUUUCUUGAUUUUUU